GAGAGAGAAGAGAGAGACGAGAGAACGGUGGAGAAGCAGAGAAGGAGAAAGUACCGAUCGGAAGCCUGAAACUUGCAUACAAUCUUGGUUUUUGACCUAGUGAAGGCUAAUAGCUCGAAGGAUAAAGAGGUUAUUGAAGAAGAAAGUGAGCUGAUUGAAGAGUAGGGAUGCCUGUUGUAUUUUGUAUAUAUACUUAGUGAAUUGUUUUGAUAGUUUAAUUAAUUAUACUUUUACAUAUGUUAUGUUUGCAA
Molecule: long non-coding RNA, 251 nt
Organism: Neltuma alba
Lineage: Eukaryota; Viridiplantae; Streptophyta; Magnoliopsida; Fabales; Fabaceae
Exons: 2
Source: RefSeq, a predicted model, not a curated record